RNAcentral lists this long non-coding RNA (1037 nucleotides) under Sus scrofa (pig). RNAcentral's name for it is "lncRNA (ENSSSCG00070017218.1)". Lineage: Eukaryota; Metazoa; Chordata; Mammalia; Artiodactyla; Suidae. The record is from RNAcentral.
CCCAGAGGCCUCUCUGAACUGGAAGUAGGAACAGGAAAUCCUUAGAUGAGAUUCAUCUUGGAAAAAUGCAAGCUCAUACAUCUGGGUACAGCUAAUCCAAACACAGCCUGAGAGAGCCACAGUGCGGAGCAGGGGGGCGGACUGCCACCCGCAGGGCAGCCGAAGGGGCCCAGCCAGGAGGUCACCUCUGCACAGCCUCUGAUUCUUGCUUGUUUUUUAGGGCCGCACCUGUGGCAUAUGGAAGUUCCCAGGCUAUGCGUCGAAUAGGAGCUGCAGCUGCCGGCCUACACCACAGCCACAGCCGUGCAGGGUCCAAGCUGCAUCUGCGAACUACACUGCAGUCCUUAAGCCACUGAGCAAGGCCAGGGUUCAAACCCAUGUCUUCAUGGAUACUAGUCAGGUUCCUUAUUGCUGAGCCGCAGUGAGAACUCCCUACAGCCUCUGAUUUUUGUGGAGGCGGGGGUUGGCUUCAGUGUGGGCAGCGGGAGGCUGGGGACUUAGACAUCUGGGAACCCCAAGCCAGGUUUAUUGGAAAUAGAGGGCUGAGGUCUCGCUUCCCAGCUGGCCGGGCAGUGACCUGGUGGUCCAGGGAGGGGAGGGGAGGAGCAUGCCUACCAUCAGUGCCGUGGCCUUGCCCACUGGUGCCCAGGCCUCCACUCAGUGGGCACUGAGGAUCUCCCUCCUCCCUCAAAGACCUCCCUGGGCCUGUGGAAAGCCCUGUUUUCCUCUGUUCUGCAGUCUCUCAAGACCACACGGGUUUGAUCUGGAUUCCGGCAACCCGAAGAAGCACCGAGGCACUGUAGGAGAGAAACCAGGUGCCCCGGAUGAAGAGGAACAGAAGUGGUGGCAGUCCCGUCGUGGCUCAGCAGAAGCAAAUCCGACUCGUAUCCAUGAGGACACAGGUUCCAUCCCUGGCCUUGCUCAGUGGGUUAAGGAUCUGGCAUUGCUGUGAGCUGUGGUGUAGGUCGAAGAUGAGGCUCGGAUCCCGAGUUGUCGCAGCUGUGGCAUAGGCUGGCAGCUACAGCUCCGAUUCAACC